UUGAUGAAAAUUGAACUCGGU
Molecule: non-coding RNA, 21 nt
Filed under: Caenorhabditis elegans
Lineage: Eukaryota; Metazoa; Nematoda; Chromadorea; Rhabditida; Rhabditidae
Source: RNAcentral